This 460-nucleotide ribosomal RNA is filed under the name uncultured bacterium. RNAcentral describes it as "partial 16S ribosomal RNA". It matches the Rfam family "Bacterial small subunit ribosomal RNA", at positions 338 to 795 of the family's 1533-position model. The record is from RNAcentral.
CCUACGGGAGGCAGCAGUGAGGAAUAUUGGUCAAUGGGCUUACGCCUGAACCAGCCAAGUCGCGUGAGGGAAGACUGCCCUAUGGGUUGUAAACCUCUUUUGUCAGGGAGCAACGCCGGCUACGUGUAGCCGGACUGAGAGUACCUGAAGAAAAAGCAUCGGCUAACUCCGUGCCAGCAGCCGCGGUAAUACGGAGGAUGCGAGCGUUAUCCGGAUUUAUUGGGUUUAAAGGGUGCGUAGGCGGAAUGCCAAGUCAGCGGUAAAAUCGCGGGGCUCAACCUCCCUCCGCCGUUGAAACUGGCGGUCUUGAGUGGGCGAGAAGUAUGCGGAAUGCGUGGUGUAGCGGUGAAAUGCAUAGAUAUCACGAAGAACUCCGAUUGCGAAGGCAGCAUACCGGCGCCCAACUGACGCUGAAGCACGAAAGCGUGGGUAUCGAACAGGAUUAGAUACCCGAGUAGUC